GACGAACGCCGGCGGCGUGCUUAACACAUGCAAGUCGAACGGAAAGGCCCUGCUUUUGUGGGGUGCUCGAGUGGCGAACGGGUGAGUAACACGUGAGUAACCUGCCCUUGACUUUGGGAUAACUUCAGGAAACUGGGGCUAAUACCGGAUAGGAGCUCCUGCUGCAUGGUGGGGGUUGGAAAGUUUCGGCGGUUGGGGAUGGACUCGCGGCUUAUCAGCUUGUUGGUGGGGUAGUGGCUUACCAAGGCUUUGACGGGUAGCCGGCCUGAGAGGGUGACCGGCCACAUUGGGACUGAGAUACGGCCCAGACUCCUACGGGAGGCAGCAGUGGGGAAUAUUGCACAAUGGGCGGAAGCCUGAUGCAGCAACGCCGCGUGCGGGAUGACGGCCUUCGGGUUGUAAACCGCUUUCGCUUGUGACGAAGCGUGAGUGACGGUAAUGGGUAAAGAAGCACCGGCUAACUACGUG
Molecule: ribosomal RNA, 468 nt
Filed under: uncultured bacterium
Lineage: Bacteria
Description: partial 16S ribosomal RNA
Rfam family: Bacterial small subunit ribosomal RNA
Source: RNAcentral